This 669-nucleotide ribosomal RNA is filed under the name Shewanella sp. MR06-84. RNAcentral describes it as "bacterial SSU rRNA". It matches the Rfam family "Bacterial small subunit ribosomal RNA", at positions 34 to 693 of the family's 1533-position model. The record is from RNAcentral. Lineage: Bacteria; Pseudomonadati; Pseudomonadota; Gammaproteobacteria; Alteromonadales; Shewanellaceae.
CGAAAGUUCUUUCUGUUUUAUGCAGUCGAGCGGUAACAGGAAGAAAGCUUGCUUUCUUUGCUGACGAGCGGCGGACGGGUGAGUAAUGCCUAGGGAACUGCCCAGUCGAGGGGGAUAACAGUUGGAAACGACUGCUAAUACCGCAUACGCCCUACGGGGGAAAGGAGGGGCUCUUCGGACCUUUCGCGAUUGGAUGUACCUAGGUGGGAUUAGCUUGUUGGUGAGGUAAGAGCUCACCAAGGCGACGAUCCCUAGCUGUUCUGAGAGGAUGAUCAGCCACACUGGGACUGAGACACGGCCCAGACUCCUACGGGAGGCAGCAGUGGGGAAUAUUGCACAAUGGGCGAAAGCCUGAUGCAGCCAUGCCGCGUGUGUGAAGAAGGCCUUCGGGUUGUAAAGCACUUUCAGCGAGGAGGAAAGGUUAACGGUUAAUACCCGUUAGCUGUGACGUUACUCGCAGAAGAAGCACCGGCUAACUUCGUGCCAGCAGCCGCGGUAAUACGAGGGGUGCAAGCGUUAAUCGGAAUUACUGGGCGUAAAGCGUACGCAGGCGGUUUGUUAAGCGAGAUGUGAAAGCCCCGGGCUCAACCUGGGAACUGCAUUUCGAACUGGCAAACUAGAGUCUUGUAGAGGGGGGUAGAAUUUCAGGUGUAGCGGUGAAAUGCGUAG